This 164-nucleotide ribosomal RNA is filed under the name uncultured bacterium. RNAcentral's name for it is "partial 16S rRNA". It matches the Rfam family "Bacterial small subunit ribosomal RNA", at positions 355 to 511 of the family's 1533-position model. The record is from RNAcentral.
UAGGGAAUCUUCGGCAAUGGACGAAAGUCUGACCGAGCAACGCCGCGUGAGUGAUGAAGGGUUUCGGCUCGUAAAACACUGUUGUAAGAGAAGAAUGACAUUGAGAGUAACUGUUCAAUGUGUGACGGUAUCUUGCCAGAAAGGAACGGCUAAAUACGUGCCAG